AAUUCCCCCACCAGGGUUAUUAUUAAUAUUUUUGUAUUUUAAUAAAAUGCUAUCGUAGUAAUUGGAAGCAAUACUUUGAACUUUUUGUAAUUCUCUGUUCAAAGGUCUCACACAUUUUGUGAAUAACAAGUAUCCUCAGCUUUCCUAUCAGAAGAAAAAUAAUUGAGACUUCCAAUAGACAUCUCUGCUUCCAGACUCAGGCAUGAGAGACAAAUAGGUGAUGGCAUAUUUUGGUAUUUGCAGAAUAGAUAAAUAGCCCAAUCUUUCAUCUCACAGGACACAGAAAAAUGAAUUAAUACCUGUGAAGCAACCAAAACUAUUAGAACAGAAACACAGCUGAAAUAACUGCAUUCACAGUACGUAUGGUAAACACUCAGCAGAUCAACUUUUCAUCAUAUAUUAGAAGAGUGAGAAAAUAAAAUAUUUAGAACCUCAAUGUCAAGUGAGAUAAAAUCUCUUAAGAAAUAGUGUGUGAUCAUGUUAUCAAUUGUAAGUCUGGCAUUUCUAAAUUCUGAGUAACCUCAUAUUAUUUGAAUAUAAUUUUCUAAGUGUAAUUUCUUACAUUUGAAAACGAAUAGAAAAAAUAGUGAAAUUUCAUAUUGUCAAUCAUGAGAGUCAUCUGGCAUAUUUCAAACUAGCAUACAGAACUUUGUUACAUGUAUUAAUUAAUUAAGCGUUACUACUUGCCAUUACAUUUGUGAAAGAGAACUAAAUGAAACAUGUAUUUCAACUCCUAGAUUUAAAUGUAUUUGCUGAGAGAAAAGGAAUGGGGACAAGGAAGAAACUUGCAUUCAGUUCCAAGCUUCAUACAUAAAUAAUAUCUAAUGAACUUAGUCUUCUUCCUAUUCCCCCAAAUCCAGGUCUUCUUUGCCUUGUCAUGUGAAUUUGCCUGUGCUCACACAUUGUAAUUAUGCAUCCCUUAAACUUCUGUUCCCUUUCUAGUUUAAAAUAUCACUCUGUCAUCUGCAUCACUCUUAUGUGACAGAACACAUUGCCUACACCAAGUAAUGUCAGUUUGAGUUGUAACUCCUAAUCAGGACUAGUUACUCAAUCACAAUACAACUAUUUUGUUUAAUUACAAAAAAAUUGCCACAAGAUUAUUUUUGGAAGCAAUUUAAGCAGCUGUCUGCCUAUUGAUAAUGGUUAAGGAAUAACUUUCUACACAGAUCUGAGAGUGAGGGCUGAAGUUGAUCUAGACAGCAGCACCUCUUAAAGCAGUCCACAAUUAAUUUUCUGCUUUUUUAGAAGCUCAGGGAGUAGAAACAAAUUCCACAAAUGUUAUGAAUGAAGGACUGUAAUAGCCAUGAUUCAAUCACAACAUGUAGUAACACUAUCAAUAUAACUGAAGUAAAAAUACUACCUUCUGAUCUUUAGUAGAUCAUUCUACUGUAUGCAUUCUGAAUAAAUCAAUCCUCAAUUUUAUCAUAAAAUAACUCAUCUGAUUCUCAAUUCAUCUGAAUAAUACAGGUAACUAGAUUAGAACUAUAAUCUCAUAGUAAUCUGGCCAUUUUCUUUCUUGAGAUCACAUACCAACAAAAAAAACAACAGCCAACUAAUUGAAGAAUAUUUAUACUUUUUGACAAAUAGACCAUCCUAAUGUAGAGAGAGUACAUGCAGUAGUGAAAAACACCUGUGUUAGGACUCUAAGUGGCCACUGAUGAGUCCUGAUUAUUCUCACCGGGUUAGCCUCCGCCCUAACCCCAUAAUCAUUGGUCCAUGUGCCCUAUUUAAAUUAAUAUCUAGGUUGCUUGACUUUUCUUAAGGUACAUCAGCCGUUUACCCAGGUUCAGUCCUAUCUCCUACUUAGUAUACUACUGUAUACUAUGCUCUUAGAUGAAUCCUAGGCAUGUAUUGUGUUGUGGGAAUGUACCCUGGCUGCUGAAGACCCCACUUGCCUGUGGAUCAUUUCAAGAUGGCUCUUUCCUCAACGGGGAAUGCUGGCUGCCUGGGCACCACUUCUUAAAAAACAGAUAACAAAAAAGUGGUAUAAAACCACUGAAAUGAAGACCUCUGUGAGGUUGGCCUCUGAGAAAAACAAAGUAUAAUGUUAUCCUCAUCAAACCAAGGGGCUCUGAGCUUACAG
Non-coding RNA from Meleagris gallopavo (turkey), 2083 nucleotides. NCBI's taxonomy places the organism in Eukaryota, Metazoa, Chordata, Aves, Galliformes, Phasianidae. The record is from RefSeq and is a predicted model, not a curated record.